CAAUAGAAGUGAGGUGGUGCGGGCUUUUGAAGGCUUUAGAAAACCCACCCUUACGAUCUUUGUUCCACCUCUGGGGAAAGAGGACAUCCUUGCACGUGUCUGGCAUUGUUCACGACAACACUGCAACCGAAAUAAAGCGGAGUUUCUGGGAGUAGCAUUAGGAUGCAGCACUCCCGCUGUGCGCACCAGUUCCCCGCUCUGCACAGCUGCCUUCUCAGCUGGGGGUUUGAAAUCAGCACUGUGAGGAAAGACAGAAAUGACCGUGAUGCAUGCCCCUCACUAUGAGGAAAAGAUUAGGAUGUGAAGCUCUCAUCUUCUGUUCCUGUGUGCCUCUAUGCUUCCCACCACGAUAGUCAUAGACUAACUCUGAAAAGGACUGACUGUGCAAAUUCCUCGUCUAAAUUCUGCAGCGCUGGCAGUAAGCUCCAGCAGGCACAUAUGUAGGCAGAGCAAAUGCAGGGUUAUGUAACUGCCCGAACAGCUUGUGCCAGAUUCAGCUCAGGCAGAAGGGUUCAUUUGAUACAAACCAGAGAUCGGCUGUCUAAAAGUUAAAUGAAAAUAUGGAGAACCUGACGUGGAGUGUUUCUGGAUACAGCAGCACAGUCGGAAGUUAGGCAUUGUGCAGUCUGAAAUGCUAGAACUGGAUUUGUGAACCAUUUCAAUUUCCACAGAAAAUAAUUUAACAUUUUUCUGAUAAUCCAAUAAUAUAUCUCUAUCAUAUGAUUGAACAAUAUCUAUUAUAGAUAUAACUACUGCUCAAAACUUGCAGAGGAGCCUACAGAUGAACACUUUAUAUCAGGAUAGGCAAGAAUUUUCUGUUUAGAACUUCAUUAGCACAGCAAAUAGCCUCAAAAAUUGACAAAUAAGGCUAUACAAAGUUAAAGCUUCUACACAACCCAAACAACUAUGAACUGAGUGAACAGAUGGUCCAGAGAAUGGGAGAAAACCUGGUACAGCCAGGAUGGAAAUCAGUGUGGAUCUUCACAGAAUCUUAAGGUAAAAUUGCUCUCCAACCCAACUAUAUCACUGCUCACUCCAGGGCAAACAAUCAGAAGCCUCCAACCACCGAGAUACCUGUAUAUUGUGUUUACUGUUGCUUUUUUUAAUAAUAAGAGGAAAUGAUGUAACCUAAAAGUCUACCAAGAUAUAAACAUAGAGUAUCAUUCAAGUCUUAAAGAAAAAUAAAAUUUGUAGGAAAAUUAAUGGAUGGAUAAUAUUGUAUUUAGUGAGAUAUCCAAGGCUUAGAAAGUCAAACACAGUUACAUAGGGCAGAAAACCCUGACAGCUCUUUG
This is a long non-coding RNA of Microtus oregoni (creeping vole), 1292 nucleotides long. RefSeq lists it as uncharacterized. The transcript is spliced from 5 exons. Lineage: Eukaryota; Metazoa; Chordata; Mammalia; Rodentia; Cricetidae. The record is from RefSeq and is a predicted model, not a curated record.